GUGUGACUGCGUACCUUUUGUAUAAUGGGUCAGCGACUUAUAUUCUGUAGCAAGGUUAACCGAAUAGGGGAGCCGGAGGGAAACCGAGUCUUAACCGGGCGUUAAGUUGCAGGGUAUAGACCCGAAACCCGGUGAUCUAGCCAUGGGCAGGUUGAAGGUUGGGUAACACUAACUGGAGGACCGAACCGACUAAUGUUGAAAAAUUAGCGGAUGACCUGUGGCUGGGGGUGAAAGGCCAAUCAAACCGGGAGAUAGCUGGUUCUCCCCGAAAGCUAUUUAGGUAGCGCCUCGUGAAUUCAUCUCCGGGGGUAGAGCACUGUUUCGGCUAGGGGGCCAUCCCGGCUUACCAACCCGAUGCAAACUGCGAAUACCGGAGAAUGUUAUCACGGGAGACACACGGCGGGUGCUAACGUCCGUCGUGAAGAGGGAAACAACCCAGACCGCCAGCUAAGGUCCCAAAGUCAUGGUUAAGUGGGAAACGAUGUGGGAAGGCCCAGACAGCCAGGAUGUUGGCUUAGAAGCAGCCAUCAUUUAAAGAAAGCGUAAUAGCUCACUGGUCGAGUCGGCCUGCGCGGAAGAUGUAACGGGGCUAAACC
Molecule: ribosomal RNA, 596 nt
Filed under: Salmonella enterica subsp. enterica
Lineage: Bacteria; Pseudomonadati; Pseudomonadota; Gammaproteobacteria; Enterobacterales; Enterobacteriaceae
Description: bacterial LSU rRNA
Rfam family: Bacterial large subunit ribosomal RNA
Source: RNAcentral